This is a long non-coding RNA of Oncorhynchus masou masou (cherry salmon), 865 nucleotides long. RefSeq lists it as uncharacterized. The transcript has 5 exons. NCBI's taxonomy places the organism in Eukaryota, Metazoa, Chordata, Actinopteri, Salmoniformes, Salmonidae. The record is from RefSeq and is a predicted model, not a curated record.
GAUGAAUAGAGGACGGUGAGAGAUGAACGAUGACUGACAAUAAUAUAGAGGUCUACUGUCACUAGUGUGUGGUGGUGAAGUUGUUCUCUGCUCAGCUGACAGACAAGAGAUACAGAGACAGGAGUCCAUUCUGUUCCAAGUAGGUCACCUUGGCUCUCCUCUAUGCACAGCACUCCAGGGACUUCCUGCAGGUGGAGUCAGGCUUCUACUUCAUCGCCCUGGACCACGCCAUGAACGAGCCAGAAGUCGCUAAGUUUGGACCACCAUUACAAUGAGCCUGUCCUCCUAUAGCUCCUCCCACCAGCCUCCACUGCUCUUUUAAUUAUGGUGAUGCCCCAACUGUAAGAACCUGUAGAUCUCUACUGAUUUUGAGGGAGGUGACAUUGCCACAAACAGUGCCUGGGACACCUUCCAGCACUACCGCUGUCUGGAAAACAGCCAGAGGGUGGUCUGCUGCAACAGUGUGUCAGCUCGGCUGCACCUGGGAACUAAAGAUUGUCUGGGUCUGCUGAGAGGGUCAUUGGCUGCCACCUGCCCUCCAUUGAGGUCCUGCAUGACUCCAGGGCAAGGAAGCAUGCAUGAAAGAUCAUCACCGACCACUUCCACCCUUUCUUCCACAGACUCCCAUCUGGCAAACUGUUCAAGUCAAUCACAACCAAAACUUCCCACUGCCUGAAUCGUUUCUUCCCCUGUGCCAUGGCCCUCACCAACCGGCCGCCUGGUCCACAAUGAUCCUCUCAUCCAUGGACUCUGCGCUAUUCAUCCAGACUAUGCACCGUGCACUAUCAUCUUACAUUCUUAAUUUACAAUGUAGCUUAAUGGUGCUGCCACAAUAAACAGACCAAAAAAAUAUAUAUGCAGAAUU